GUGGGAGCAGGAAUUGCUGCUGCACAGGGAAGGUUGUUGUGGCCUUGCCUGUCAGAGUGUGGGGGUUUGCUGGCAAUGAUUCCUGUUCCAGGCCAAAAAAAGCGCUCACGGAAGGAAGAAGCUGCACCUGACCAUCCCCAGGGGUGCACACGUGCCAGGGCCAGCACUGGUGUGUGAAGGACCAUCCCCAGUGUCUGAAGAGGGCACAGGGACACUCUCACCGUUAAUAAAGGGUUCUCUGGAAAGCUCUCCAACACAGCUGGAGUGCCAAAAUGACUUCAAGUGCUCACAAACUCCACUUAUGGGGCUGCAACUCAGCUGAGAGCAAGAGCUCCUGCUUUCUCCACAGAACGUGGGAGUUGUUCGAUCCCACAGCUUUCAAUGACUUCAGAGUAAAAGGAAAGGUAUUUCAAAGGAAGUCAAACACUUUCACCAGUGACAAACUUCCCCCAAGGUCUGAUUGAUGGUUGGAGUGAGCUCUGUAGAGCAGAGCUCCUUGAGGUGUGUGCUGGCUGAGGGGAGAGGGGAGCAGCCGAGCUUGGGUCACAAAUCUGUCCUUGCUGCUGCCUUCUGUUGAACUUCAGCGUGUGCUGUUGUGUAAUGGACAGAGAAAAACACAUCUGAAAGCAGCAAACGUGAAAGGGAAGGAUGCACUGAAAUAACACCAGAUGGACACUGUGCAGGAGGAGGAGACCCCUGAGCCAGAGACUGAGUCACUCGAGGGUCAAACUGAGCAACCGCCAGGAGUUCAACACUCUGCAUUGCUGUUCUUCAGUGACAGAGUUUCCUUGGCAUCAGCAGCUGCUCUGUGCUGAAAUCCUCCUCUGUGUGUGAGGAAAGCCAGGAGUUAGUGCAGCCCCAGUGUUGCACAGCUCUGUGCCCAGCAGGGAGCUGGGCACACUCAGCUCAUUCCCUGGGCUGGGAAAACACCUCUUCUUGUUUUCCCCUCCUUUUUUACCCCCUGACUGCAGUGCAGGCAGCAGCAGAGUGUUCCAACAGCACCAGGCUUUAAGGGAACUGGUGGAGCCAGAUCCAGGUAAAAUGAGUUUAAUACAUUGAAUUUAUUACUUUUUUUUGUGUUAUCCAAAGUAGGACUGCACACAAGCUCCACAUCUGCUGUGAAAGAAAACUUUGAGUUUAUGAGGCAAGCAAAACCUCAGGCUGGGAUAUCAUUGUUGGUAAAUCCAGUGGCACUACAGGGAUCAGAUAAAGAUCCCAGUGAUGCCCCCUGACAUUUGAGAGGGGCAGGAAACAUCCUGUGUGUGUGGCAGGAAGGGAAAUGAGGGAGAGCAGGGCCGUGUGGGGAUCAGCAGAGAUCAAUUGCAGUGUACAGGAAAUGCUUUUCCCAACAAUCCCAGAAACAUCUCCUCCAAUUCAUAUUUAGAGCUCGAGGGAUCCCCAGGAAGAGCUGUGACAUCUUAUUUCCCACAGUGUGCUGGGCCAAGAAAGGAGCAGGAAAAAUACCUUCCCAUUCACUUAAUUAUGGCCCAAGGAAUAAAUUAUUCAAAUUAAGCCACCAUUUCUAUCCUGGUGUGGCCACUCUGCAUCCAGAAUAGCUCCAGGACUGACCCAGGGGUGAUGUGAGCCCCCUUUUUCCUCUCUGUGGGGCCAGUUCCUGUAUUUGUCCACAUUCCUGCCUCAAGCUCCACGUUCCUCAUCCCUCUCUGAACACUGGAGUGACUCUUGGGACAAUGGUAAUGAAGAGAGAGUUGGAUUCCCAAAGGCUGUGCUUCCUCCUGAAUCCCUCCCUGGCAGGGUGGUGCUGUACGGAAAAAUUCAUGGGUUCUUGCUCUGAUGAAGAAUUGGUGGCCUGGCACUGCCAGUCUGGGUUGCUCAGACUUUUCCUCAGUGCAGUCUGGCAAUUCCUGUUCCAAAGCUGGUUCUCUGCAGGCCCAGAGGUGCCCAGAGCCCUGA
This is a long non-coding RNA of Passer domesticus (house sparrow), 1914 nucleotides long. RefSeq lists it as uncharacterized. The transcript has 4 exons. The record is from RefSeq and is a predicted model, not a curated record. Lineage: Eukaryota; Metazoa; Chordata; Aves; Passeriformes; Passeridae.